UUCCAGAUGUCUCAGUGGUAAAGAAUCCGCCUGCAAUGCGGGAGACCUGGGUUUGAUCCCUGGGUUGGGAA
This 71-nucleotide transfer RNA is filed under the name Bos taurus (domestic cattle). It matches the Rfam family "tRNA". From Rfam's summary of the family: Transfer RNA (tRNA) molecules are approximately 80 nucleotides in length. Their secondary structure includes four short double-helical elements and three loops (D, anti-codon, and T loops). Further hydrogen bonds mediate the characteristic L-shaped molecular structure. tRNAs have two regions of fundamental functional importance: the anti-codon, which is responsible for specific mRNA codon recognition, and the 3' end, to which the tRNAs corresponding amino acid is attached (by aminoacyl-tRNA synthetases). tRNAs cope with the degeneracy of the genetic code in two manners: having more than one tRNA (with a specific anti-codon) for a particular amino acid; and 'wobble' base-pairing, i.e. permitting non-standard base-pairing at the 3rd anti-codon position. RNAcentral also lists the same sequence under 4 other names. The record is from Rfam by way of RNAcentral. Lineage: Eukaryota; Metazoa; Chordata; Mammalia; Artiodactyla; Bovidae.